This 499-nucleotide ribosomal RNA is filed under the name uncultured bacterium. Its description in RNAcentral is "bacterial SSU rRNA". It matches the Rfam family "Bacterial small subunit ribosomal RNA", at positions 8 to 507 of the family's 1533-position model. The record is from RNAcentral.
AGAGUUUGAUCCUGGCUCAGGAUUAACGCUGGCGGUAUGCCUAACACAUGCAAGUCGAACGGAAUACUAAUUAAGAGAAUCUCACACUAGUGAGAGGUUCUCACGAGUAGUAUUUAGUGGCGGACGGGUGAGUAACACGUUGGAACCUGCCCCGAAGUGGGGAAUAACUGCUCGAAAGAGUAGCUAAUACCCCAUAGUAUCCGGUUUAUCCGGAUUAAAGAUUUAUCGCUUCGGGAGGGGCCUGCGUCUGAUUAGCUAGUUGGUGAGGUAAAAGCUCACCAAGGCGACGAUCAGUAGCUGGUUCGAGAGGAUGACCAGCCACACUGGGACUGAGAUACGGCCCAGACUCCUACGGGAGGCAGCAGUGAGGAAUCUUCCACAAUGGCGCAAGCCUGAUGGAGCAAUACCGCGUGCAGGAAGACGCUUUUCGGAGUGUAAACUGCUUUUGUCGUCGAAGAUUAUGACUGUAGACGAAGAAUAAGGACCGGCUAACUACGUG